UCAUUUAAAUCUCAAAGUUUGAG
This 23-nucleotide small nuclear RNA is filed under the name Arabidopsis thaliana (thale cress). RNAcentral's name for it is "snRNA_13368". Lineage: Eukaryota; Viridiplantae; Streptophyta; Magnoliopsida; Brassicales; Brassicaceae. The record is from RNAcentral.